This 112-nucleotide ribosomal RNA is filed under the name Caerostris darwini. The record is from RNAcentral. Lineage: Eukaryota; Metazoa; Arthropoda; Arachnida; Araneae; Araneidae.
AACGGCCAUACCAUGCUGAAUAUAUCGGUUCUCGUUAGAUCACUGAAGUCAAGCAUCAUUGGGCGCGGUCAGUACUUGGGUGGGUGACCACCUGGGAACACCGCGCGCCGUU